This 709-nucleotide long non-coding RNA is filed under the name Olea europaea (common olive). Its description in RNAcentral is "long non-coding RNA (OEUR_LNC012187)". The record is from RNAcentral. Lineage: Eukaryota; Viridiplantae; Streptophyta; Magnoliopsida; Lamiales; Oleaceae.
UCAAGGGUUUUCUGGUUUCCUCUUUGUGUUGCAUCAUUUACUUCUUCUUCGUAUUGUAAUCUCUGUAAGAUCUUUUAGUAAGAUGUUUGUUGUUUUAUUUAGUGUACAAAAGAGAGAAGGAGAUCAUUUUGUUGUAAUCUUUAGAGAAGCGAGACAAAAUCUAAGUGAAGAAAUCUUUGAUUUUCUUCAUACAUUUGAUCUGUACUAUUCUUGAUGAUUUUAGUGGAUUCAAGCAAAAUCUACUUGGUAGAUGCUCAAUGUGGUGAGUAGGCAUUUUGCUGAACAUUUGGGCUUAAGGGGUGAAAAAUCUUAGCGUUCUUCCAAUUUUUUGCAAAUUUUACUUUACUGCAAACGUUUCAAUAUACAAACUUUAAUUCUAAAAACAACAGACAACACUGAGAAUCUAAAACACUUUGGUUUGCCCUGAUCUUUCUCUCUGAGAUGAUCUUUAUUUGUACUUUUGUGUAUUGAAUACAUGUGCCUAUUAGGUGGUUUAGUUUAUUGGUUUGAUAUUUUUGUGCUUUUUCCUAAACUUCUCAAAUCCUUUAGGUUUACUAAAAAAUGUAUUUUUUCCCAACUUUUUAGCCUUCUUGAUCAUUCAUAGUUCACAGCUUUUGCUGAAGAGUAAAGAUACAGUAAAUCGAGGAUCUUUGUGAUUCUCGUGAGAAAUCUGGAGGAAAACUCUGGAUAAGGAAUUGUUUAUUGGGAA